GACAGAGGGUGCAAGCGUUGUUCGGAGUUACUGGGCGUAAAGGGUGCGUAGGCGGUUGUUCAAGUUUGGUGUGAAAUCUCCCGGCUCAACUGGGAGGGUGCGCCGAAUACUGAAUGACUAGAGUGCGGGAGAGGAGAGUGGAAUUCCUGGUGUAGUGGUGAAAUACGUAGAUAUCAGGAGGAAUACCGGUGGCGAAGGCGGCUCUCUGGACCAAUAUUGACGCUGAGAAACGAAAGUGCGGGGAUCAAACAGG
This 253-nucleotide ribosomal RNA is filed under the name uncultured bacterium. RNAcentral's name for it is "partial 16S ribosomal RNA". It matches the Rfam family "Bacterial small subunit ribosomal RNA", at positions 524 to 776 of the family's 1533-position model. The record is from RNAcentral.